UUCUAUGGUUAGUUUUGCAGGUUUGCAUCCAGCUGUGUGAUAUUCUGCUGUGCAAAUCCAUGCAAAACUGACUGUGGUA
Molecule: non-coding RNA, 79 nt
Organism: Myotis lucifugus (little brown bat)
Lineage: Eukaryota; Metazoa; Chordata; Mammalia; Chiroptera; Vespertilionidae
Source: Rfam